ACUCCUACGGGAGGCAGCAGUGGGGAAUAUUGGACAAUGGGCGAAAGCCUGAUCCAGCCUUGCCGCGUGUGUGAAGAAGGUCUUCGGAUUGUAAAGCACUUUAAGUUGGGAGGAAGGGUUGUAGAUUAAUACUCUGCAAUUUUGACGUUACCGACAGAAUAAGCACCGGCUAACUUCUGUGCCAGCAGCCGCGGUAAU
Molecule: ribosomal RNA, 198 nt
Filed under: uncultured Pseudomonas sp.
Lineage: Bacteria; Pseudomonadati; Pseudomonadota; Gammaproteobacteria; Pseudomonadales; Pseudomonadaceae
Description: partial 16S ribosomal RNA
Rfam family: Bacterial small subunit ribosomal RNA
Source: RNAcentral